This 49-nucleotide non-coding RNA is filed under the name unclassified sequences. RNAcentral describes it as "L31-Actinobacteria ribosomal protein leader". It matches the Rfam family "L31-Actinobacteria ribosomal protein leader". The record is from RNAcentral.
CUGGCUCCGGUUCACGCCUUCCGCACCCACGCGUGGGCGACCCGGCGCA